GUGUGCCACCUGCGUGUUUUCUGUCCAAAUCAGAAACGGAUUUGGACAGAAAACAGGCAGGAAGAAGGAA
Cercocebus atys (sooty mangabey) is the source of this 70-nucleotide microRNA precursor. The record is from Ensembl. Lineage: Eukaryota; Metazoa; Chordata; Mammalia; Primates; Cercopithecidae.